RNAcentral lists this unclassified non-coding RNA (2820 nucleotides) under Hevea brasiliensis (rubber tree). The record is from RNAcentral. Lineage: Eukaryota; Viridiplantae; Streptophyta; Magnoliopsida; Malpighiales; Euphorbiaceae.
UAUUAAAAUGUGAAAACACUUAUAUAUACAUGACAUAAACACAUACUAUUAUAACUAUAUAAUAGAAAAUUUUCGUGACAAAUAUUUUCUUAAAAAAAUUUUUCAUAGAAAAUAUUUUUCAUAUACAAGUUAUUUUCUGCGAAACAAACGGAGCCUUAGUCUUCUUUUUUUUCCCCAUAAAUGUUGAAAUAUGCAAAAUAUUUAAAAUGUAAUUUACGUAUCCCCUUGAAAAUUUCAAUAACCUAAAUAACUGGUUACCCACUUAGCAAUGAGGCUAUGUUUUUCAUCUGCCAAAGUUGGAGAUCAUAUUUGCCAUUUAGGCUUUGAAAACUAAAUGUGAAUGCAUUCGAUUUGUUUGAGCUUCUCAAGUUAAGCAAGUCAAAGUUUCUGUCUCUUUAAGCUGUGGAGGUGACCAGAAUCUUUACUGUUUUGACAUUAUAGAAUGCAUUAAGAAGGGCAUAUUGCGCGUAUGCGUAUGUAAUGACUAUGUGUGCCUCUAGUCAACUCUUCCCCAGUGCAAUCAGCAUUUCUAUUUCUACCUUUCAAAACCAGCCUUUUAUAUUGACUUCAUCAAAGUAAGGCAUUUCCUUCAAAUGAUUCAAUUUAUCAUUGAUAGUUUAACACAAAUUAACUGAACUUUAACACCAAACUAGUUAGGUUGACUAUAUAGAUCCGUUUCCUCUAUUCCACUCACUUGAGACAAUUUUUCAUGACAGUUUGAGCCAAAUAAAAUAGAAAAGAAGGGAGGAAAAUCUCAAGUACGCAAGCCUCUAGAUGUUAUAUUCAAUAUUGGCUACAAUUAUCGAAGUAUGCUGUGUCAUCAUAUCUUGACUUGUUCAUUAGACUUGGUCUUAUGUCCCUAGGCAGUGUCCCUAGACCAUAGGGAUCAAGCGGGAUAAAGUCAGUUUAACUUCCAAUUCAGCUCUUCCCAAUUCGUGACAUCACAUGAUGAGUGAAAGUUAUUCAAAUACCGGAGACAAAAAAAGUAUAUUUUUCUGUUUAGUUCCCCUAUUUCUCUUCCUCAUCUUGCUCACCCUUCUCAAAUCGCCCAGUGUGAUAUACAUGUAUGUGGUUAUCUGCUGCUGAGGUAGUUGUCGGUAUGCUUUUGCUGAUUCAGAUUAACUUGACUUCUGUUGUUAUCAUCUGUUAGUGCUUCAGUUGGCAGUCUGGUUGUUACAACUGGCUCCUCUUGAACAUGCAGUUGUAGUUGAAAAUCCUACAUAUGCAAGUUAGAUGGACUCUGUUAGUGCCGGUUCCUGGCACCAGUUUACUUUCUGAAGUCUAUUUGCUUUUGUUACCAUUCUUUUUCAUGUCUGAUUAAUCUCUAAUAUCAAUGAGUUGUACUUUAAAAUUUACCUUGCAGGUGAUCUGGCUUUGUUUCUGCUAGUGUGAAGGUCUCUAAAAGCCUGGAGCCUACCAUCCUUUGUUCUAUCCUCUUCAUUGAUGAAUUCUCUCCCACCUCUUCAAAUCUUAAACAUUAAUUUCUCUUAUUUUCUAACAAUAAAAAGUAAUCUGGCACAUGAAUAAAAGCAUUUCCUGGCUGCAAAAAACUGAUUCAAAUUUUCUUUUGUGCAUGAAAGAAUGGAUAUAGUUAGCAAAAUGCAAGGCGCAUAGACUUGUGGUCAGUUACAUGCGAUAGCUAGUUAUGUAUUUUUGGAGAUAUAGCUAGCAGCUAGUAAUGCUUUGCAAGUUUUGGAUAUUGAGGUGGACCUGGUGUUUAACAGAGCUGAAUAGCGAAAAAGAAUCCAUUCAAUUGAUUCCAACUAGUUUGCUAUUAAGGCUUAGUUGUUGUUGUUGAAGUAUAGGGGUUUUCUUUUGAAUUUUGUUGAUAGCAUGCUUAUCAAAUUUAAAUUCUGCCUAUUAAGGAUAUGUAGGCCACUGUAAUAUGUACAUAUGCAUUUUUUUUUUAAUUUCAUUUUAUAACUUUUUAUUUGUGGAAAACAAUCCUUGUUGGUUGAUGAAUUUGUGCUUAUUUAUAGAGGGAUGUCAUUGUUUAUCACUUAUCAGUAACGUAAAAGCAAGAGAUUGUGAGAUGUUAACAAGGCACUGUGAUCCUAAUCAUAAAUCCUUCAUCUGUAUCACAUUUUAUUUGUUCUUUUGUUCCAUAACAGGAGUCUACUAUUGGUGGAUUGAACAGCAAAACCCAUAUGAAGAUAAUGCUUAAAUGGAUGAGGGGGAGGAAAAUGCUGAAGCUGUUCUGCAACCAGGUUGGUUCAAGCAAGAAGUUUUUGCAUUGCACUUUACCUGAAGAACCACAUGCUGACCAAUCAAAAGUACUACCAGAGCUAAAUAUUCCGGCCAGGAAGCCUUCAAUAAAGAGGAAAAAACAACAGCAAUAAGAUGUGUGAGGACCAUCUCAUGACUAGAGAAUGAUUACUAGGAAUGUUCCAUGUGCAAUUGUUCCUUUAAUUCUGUGCUUCAUUUGGAUGGAUGGUUCUUAACGCCUUUUAUCUAUUGUCAGUUUGUCAUUGUUCUUGACUACUUAAUUUGCCUUCCUUAUACUUCCUCUUGUUGAUUUUCUAGUAUGAAUUUAAUAAAGAAGGAUUUUAGAGUGCACAUCUAGAUAUGUUUUCUUAUGCAGUAUGUGUUGUGGACAUGAAGGCUGCCACAACGAAGCAAAUGUUACUUGCUACAAGAUCUUAUCAGUCUACUAGAGAAAUCUGUACAAUUUUUGUCAUUUACUCUGGCUCGGAGUUCAGGGUUCAUGACUUCUUUGGUUGUGCUGCCUUUAGAUGCUGUUGAGUAUUUUAUUCUUUCUAUUCUAUUCAGGAUAGAGAAAUUGGCUCAGUAACAUGUAGAUUAUCUUAAAAUGGUGAUUAG